This is a long non-coding RNA of Xiphophorus hellerii (green swordtail), 98 nucleotides long. RefSeq lists it as uncharacterized. Lineage: Eukaryota; Metazoa; Chordata; Actinopteri; Cyprinodontiformes; Poeciliidae. The transcript has 3 exons. The record is from RefSeq and is a predicted model, not a curated record.
UACAAAGUAAAAAAAACUAUCGACUUAAUUAUGAAACUAAUCAAUUAAAUGGAUAAAAUGAUGCAACAGAUUCAACUUAAAUACAAUAAUUGUGACUC